CACCGGUGUCCCCGCAUCCUGAACUUCUGCUGUCCCUGUGGCCAGCAGAGGCGCGGCGCCAGCUGCUGAAGUGGGAAGAGGGCAUGUUUCUGUCGGAGGGGUCUGGACAGACGCCUGCGUCCCUUUACGCAGCCCUGGGGAGCUCCUGAUCAUCCUCGCCAAGCUCAGAGGCCUCCAAGCGCGGCCAAGCUUGGCUGGCGAAGCCGUGGCGCCCCGGCCCUUUCUCGCCUCUGCACCGGCUGUGCUCCGAGCUGCCUCCCUUCCAAGGACACUGGGCAGCCGGCUUCCUUCUGCUUCUGCCCCCCUCCCCCCGCUUAGAAACGGUACUUUCCGUUGGGUCCCCCAGAGCAGCCCAGGGUCUAACUCCCAACGCCCCGCGGCCCCAUGUUAAAGCUCCUGCGGUGAGCGGGCCUUGCGCGCAGCGCCCUGGCAGUCUUGCAAACAGGAUUCCUGGGAAAGUUUGCUCGGACUCCGUCAGCCCAGGACAGACCCCCCCCCCCCCCACCUCUGCUGCUCUCGACCUCUGCCCCCAGAGGCAGGAGUUGGGCUUCCUGGGAGCAGCAAGCCAACGCCACGGCCCCUCCUCCCUCCACAGCUGCCGGUCCCGAGGGCGCAGGACCCAGCCCCAGGCUGUGCUCCCGGAGCCGGGGGAGGAGAGCGAACCUCAGGGCUGGCUCUCCACAGCCGCCGGAGCUGAGUGCAUCCCGAUCGGCUUUUAGGAUGGCAUUGACUGGGACAAGCUGUUCCCAGCCCCGUAAGCGUUAAUCUGCCUGUUAAUCAAAGCACUGAGGGGCUCAAUGAGGGUUUUAUUAGCGACCGGAGAGCAGAG
RNAcentral lists this long non-coding RNA (829 nucleotides) under Heterocephalus glaber (naked mole-rat). RNAcentral's name for it is "lncRNA (ENSHGLG00100047179.1)". The record is from RNAcentral. Lineage: Eukaryota; Metazoa; Chordata; Mammalia; Rodentia; Bathyergidae.